Molecule: ribosomal RNA, 305 nt
Filed under: uncultured bacterium
Lineage: Bacteria
Description: bacterial SSU rRNA
Rfam family: Bacterial small subunit ribosomal RNA
Source: RNAcentral
UAUUACCUAGGGGCGCAGCAGUAGGGAAUUUUCGUCAAUGGGCGCAAGCCUGAACGAGCAAUGCCGCGUGAACGAGGAAGGUCUUCGGAUCGUAAAGUUCUGUUGAAGGGGAAAAAGAGCGGAGAGAGGAAAUGGUCUCCGAUUGAUAUUACCCUUCGAGGAAGUCACGGCUAACUACGUGCCAGCAGCCGCGGUAAUACGUAGGUGGCGAGCGUUAUCCGGAAUGAUUGGGCGUAAAGGGUGCGUAGGCGGCCUGCUAAGUCUGGAGUGAAAGGUACCGGCUCAACCGGUACAGGCUCUGGGAA